Molecule: long non-coding RNA, 14786 nt
Filed under: Trifolium pratense (red clover)
Lineage: Eukaryota; Viridiplantae; Streptophyta; Magnoliopsida; Fabales; Fabaceae
Description: long non-coding RNA (TPRA_LNC011999)
Source: RNAcentral
AAAUGCAAAGCGUUUCAUCAUCGGAAUCGAUCUCGGCACCACCUACUCUUGCGUCGGAGUCUGGCACCACGACAGUGUCCAAAUAAUCACAAACGACCACGGCAACCGGACCACCCCUUCUUACGUCGCUUUCACGGACUCCGAACGCUUAAUUGGUGAUGCUGCCAAGAGCCAGGUCAUCAGGAACCCCAUCAACACUGUCUUCGGUAUACCAUUUAUUCAACUUUACUUUACCUUCAGAUUUUGGCUGUUCUUUGUUUGAAUCUAUGCAGUAGCUGUGUGUUGGAGACAUUUGCUCUCUGUUGAUUUCGAUACUUAUUGCUUAAUUAAUUGAAUUGAUUUGUGCUUAAUUAUAGAUGCCAAGCGGUUGAUUGGAAGGAGAUUCUCUGAUGCGUCCGUUCAGAGUGACACGAAGCUAUGGCCAUUCAAGGUUAUUGCUGGUCCGGGCGACAAGCCCAUCAUUGUUGUUAGCUACAAGAAUGAGGAGAAGCAACUCACUGCUGAGGAGAUUUCCUCCAUGGUCCUCAUCAAGAUGCGCGAGAUCGCCGAGGCUUAUCUUGGUUCCACCGUGAAGGACGUUGUUGUCACUGUUCCAGCAUACUUCAAUGACUCUCAGCGCCAGGCCACCAAGGAUGCUGGUGUCAUCGCUGGCCUUAAUGUCAUGCGUAUCAUCAAUGAACCCACUGCUGCUGCCCUUGCCUAUGGCCUUGAUGAUAUGGAGGCCGUCGUUGAUGGUGAGAAGAACGUUUUGAUUUUUGACCUUGGUGGUGGUACUUUUGAUGUCUCUCUUCUAUCCAUUGUAGACAGUGUCUUUGAAGUUCUUGCCACUGCAGGAGACAGCCAUCUUGGAGGUGAAGACUUCGAUAACAGGAUGGUUAAGAAUUUUGUUGAGGAGUUCAAGAGGAAGCACGAGAAGGAAAUUAGUGGGAACCCGAGGGCUUUAAGAAAGUUGAGGACCGCAUGUGAAAGGGCAAAGAGGAUACUCUCAUCCACUGUACAGACCACCAUUGAGAUUGACUCAUUGUAUGAAGGUAUUGACUUCUAUACCACAAUCACUCGUGAAAGGUUUGAAGAACUCAACAUGGACCUCUUCAGCAACUGCAUGGACACUGUUGAGCGGUGUUUGAGGGAUGCUAUAAUGGACAAGAGCAGUGUCCAUGAUAUUGUUCUUGUUGGUGGGUCUACGAGGAUCCCAAAAGUGCAACAGUUGUUGCAAGAUUUCUUCAAUGGGAAGGAGCUCUGCAAGAGCAUCAACCCAGAUGAGGCAGUUGCUUAUGGAGCUGCUCUUCAGGCUGCUAUCUUGAACCGUGAGAAGAACAAGAAGGUUAAGGAGCUUACGUUGGUGGAUGUCACUGCCCUUUCACUUGGUGUGGAAACUGUUGGUGGUGUCAUGACUGUCUUGAUUCCAAAGAACCGUCCAAUCCCGUACAAGAAGGAGCAGGUUUUCUCAACCUACUCCGACAACCAGCUUAGUGUGUUGAUCAGGGUGUACGAGGGUGAGAGAACCAGUACCAGGGACAAUAACUUGCUAGGUAAAUUCGAGCUUUCUGGCAUCCUUCCUGCUCCAAGGGGUGUUCCUCAGAUCAAUGUUUGCUUUCAAAUUGAUCACAAUAGUAUCAUGAAUGUCUCUGCCGAAGACCAGACUACUGGGAAGAAAAACAAUAUCACUAUUACAAAUGGCGAGGGCAGACUCUCAAAGGAGGAGAUUGAGAUGAUGGUGCAGGAGGCGGAGAAGUACAAGGCUGAGGAUGAGGAGCACAAGAAGAACGUAAAGGCCAAGAUUGUCUCGGAAGAAGCGGUGGAGAGGUACCGUUUUACAAAAGAUGCUCCAGAUCAACACUUGGAGGCACAAGUAGAACAUGAUACUCGCCAUGAUCAGAUUGCGUUACCAUCCCUAAGUCCCAGUUUACAGUCUUUCCCAUCCAGAAACUUUGGGUAUUAUUUCAACUCUACAAAAGUGGCUUCGCAAAAAAUUAUAAAGGGACUAAAAGAUGAUAAUUGCUAUGUUAUUGGAUUGUAUGGAAAGAGAGGCAGUGGUAAAACAGCAUUGGUGAAAGCUGAGAUGGAAGAGUAUGAAAAGAUUUUCCGUAGAGUGAUAUUUCUCUCCGUGUCUGAGAAUCAAGAUAUCAAGAGCAUUCGAGUGGGAAUUUCUAGCUCCUUGAAUGUGUUUGAUAAAGAUGACAGUGAUGGUGCGAGAAUAAUGAAAAUAAUUUUGGCAUUAGAAAGGAAGGAUAGAUCUACCCUAGUCAUCUUGGAUAAUUUUCCGUCAAAGUCUAAACUGGAAGAAAUGGGAAUUCCUUAUAAUAGCAAACAGUACAAGUUCCUUUUGACCGCACGUGAUGAGACAGAGUGCAUCUCAAUGGGAUGUGAUCAUUUGGUUCUUCUAAAGCCCUUAUCCGAUGAAGAAGCUUUUACCCUGCUACAUAAACUGUCCGGUGUUGAAUCCCAAAGUGAUCUAUUUAAAGUGGUACGAGAUGUUGCUUUUAAAUGCAAUGGCUUACCUGGUUUAAUUAAAGAUGNNNNNNNNNNNNNNNNNNNNNNNNNNNNNNNNNNNNNNNNNNNNNNNNNNNNNNNNNNNNNNNNNNNNNNNNNNNNNNNNNNNCUCAACGGCACGCUACCAAAUUUUUAUCAGUUUUAGAGGAAAGGACACUCGGGAGAUUUUCACAAAUCAUCUCUAUGAGGCUUUGUGUAAAGAGGGAUUCGAGACCUUCAUAGAUGAUGAAGCAUUGGAGGGUGGAUCCCCAAUUGAUAAGCUUCUUGAAGCCAUUGAAGAAUCAAGGUUUGCAAUUGUUGUUUUGUCAGAAAAUUUUGCAGACUCUAAAUGGUGUCUUAAAGAACUUGUCAAGAUUCUUGAUUGUCGUAAAAGGAAGAAACAAUUGGUUUGCCAAUUUUUUAUGAAGUGGAACCAACCGACAUAAGGCAUCUAAAAGGGAGGUAUGGUGAAGCUAUGGCCGAACAUGAAAAAAAGUUAGCCAAAGAUUCUAAGAUGGCAUUGGAAUGGACAUUAGCUUUGAGUGAGAUUUCCCAAUUGAAUGGAGAACAUUUCCACAUUUCCAACUUCAAAGGAGAGCAUUACGAAAGGUACGUAAUAAAAUAUCUGAGAUCAAGGUACAAGGUUUUUCAGUUUACCUUUUGUAUAGUGUUGGCUUUUAAAAAAAUAAGUAAUCUAUAUCUAAAACAUAAAUGAUAAGGUGUUGUAUAUACUUUUUUACAGGUACAGAGAUCAACUUAUUGGAAAGAUCAUAAGAUUUGCCCAUAAUAAUAAACAUCGCUUGCAUAUACAAAGCAUGUAUAUGAACUAGAUGAAAGACUUUAGCUUCUCUUACUGUGAGUGCAGCAUAAGACUUUAGCUUCUCUUACUGUGACUAGUUUAGCUGAUCCUUCUGUCAAUACUCGUAUUAUAUUUGGAGCUGUUGUUGAUGACCGUUACACCGGAGAAAUUGAAGUGACUAUCAUUUCCACUGGCUUUUCGCAGUCUUUUCAGAAGAAGCUACAAACAGAUCCAAGGGCUGCAAAACUUCUUGACAAAGUGGCCGAGAGAAAAGAAAGUAAGACAGUGCCCUCUCCCCUCAAGUCCUCAAAGUCAAACUUCCAAAGUUCAAUCUAGAGCAACAACACCCUUACGAAAGCUCUUUUUUAGUUGCAUAGUUCGAUUUUUUUUCUUCUUGUUAGUUAUCAUUUUAUCGUAGUCACUCAGUUGUUUGUUGGUCUUGAAGCUUAUUUGAUUUGUUGAGAUGUCAUUACUCAUAUGGUUUAUGUAACCAUGCAGUUAAGUGUAUGUAGCUAACAAACAAUUUUUGUUUAUGAAAUGAAUAUAUUCAUUUAUUUAUUUGACUAAAAACAAAGUGAAUAUAUUUAUCCUUUAAAUCAUUUAAUGACUUUAUACGAUAAUAUAGCUAUUAAUUAGAGUGAGGCUGAAUAUCUUCUCUUAUUUGCUUGCUAUAUUACAUGUUUAUCAACCAUAAUGGAAUUCCAACAUCUAGAACUUAUAUGUAGCCAUCUUUUGGAUCUACUAAUUGGCAACAUGUUGCCACUUGCAGUUUCAAACUUUGUCCUGCUCUGAAGGAUCCAUAUGAAAUGGAUUCAACUUUUUUUCGGUGUCUUGUUGGAAGUGCUUAUUAUGCACUUUUUCAUUAGUGUAUGCAUAUUAGAAAAGUACUUGUUAUGCUUUAGUUAUGUUGUAAAAUUGUUGAUUAUUCUUCUAUCUAAUUAAAUUUUUUUUUGAACAAUCUAUCUAAUCAAAAUUACACAAGCCUCUAACUACUUGAAGAGAUUUUGCUUCACAUUACUCUAUUUUGCUUUUGUAAGGGCUGCCUGCAUUUAUCAUUGGUUUUGUAUCUGCACUUUCUGCCCUUUCUCUUUAUACAUGUCCUGUUCUCAAGUCCUCAAACUUACCUUCCAAAGCGCUUUGUCUAGUUGCAUAGUUCUUUGACCCUUUUCAAACUGUUUUCUUCUUUUUAAUUAUCUUUUUAUCGUAGUCAUUCAACUGUUUGAUGAUCUUAAAACUUAUUUGAUUUGUUGAGAUGUCAUUACUCUUAUGGUUUAUGUAACCAUGAGCUUAAGUGUGUAUAUAUAUAUAUAUAUAUAUAUAUAUAUAUAUAUAUAAUUGUGUAGGGUUAUAUGGACAUGCAUGAUUACUUGCUUAGGUUGAUUAAAGGAUACAUUAAUCAUUAGCGUGGUCCAUACAUUUGUCCACGAUCAUUUUUUAAAGGCUUAAAUAUACGAAAGUUCCCUGCACUUACGAAUCAUUUGAGUUUUAGUCCCUACACAUUAAAAACAUUUCAUUUUGACCAUGCACUUUCAUUUUACUUUUAAAAUGGUACUUGAGCCUAGUUUUUAGCUGAUGUGACAUGUUUUUUGCACAGGUGACACUGAUGAUUGUGCUUCAAACAUGCUGUCUCAUAAAAACAUUAUGGAAGGAUGAAAAUGCCCUUAAUGACCAUGGGAACAUAUGAAAUUCCAAUCUUUCCCUUCUUCCUUCACCAUCAACCUUCAAACCCAGGUCAAAACUUCCAUCUUCAUCCUUUCUUUAUCAAACCUAAUAGCUCAUACACUAGCAUUAGAAAUCUUGAAAAUUCCAAAUUCCACUCUAAAAUAAGUAACAUAAGCUAAAAGCAAAAUAAAUUUUUUGUUAUGCUUAUGCAUCAUGAUUAUAAAUGAACAGAGAGAAAGUAAUGACCUCAUAGUCAUUUUUGUGAGCACCGGGAAUCUCAAGAGCUUCAACAUCGAAAGAAUCGAUUUGAGGACCAGUGCGAAUGAGUUUUUGUUCAGCGUUAUCUUCAACUUCGGAAUCAGGUACAAUGGCGCGUCCUCUGGAUCUCAAAUCGGCGUGCUAUUCCUCUAUAUCGGGCACGUCCUCAUCUUCAUCCGCUUGGAAAACCCAUCGAUGAGUCCAUCGAGAAUCUGCCAUUGAUUUCGCAAGUGUAGAGAUCCUUUUGCAUAUAUAACUAUAUAAGGCUUUUUGAAAUAACUGAUUUCGACAAUGCAAUAUUGGGAUCCACCCUUGAGUCAAAUGUGACUGAUAGCCUCAUUGAAUUCAGCUGUAAAUUUGAAAUACUUGAGUUGGAGGAUUUUUGCUAAUUAGCACCAAGUCACCGUAGAUAAUAGCAAAUAAACAUGUCAAGUUAAAAAUUUGUUUUUUAUUUUUACCAUGAAAAUAACUGAGAUAAGGUUUAUUUUACUAUUUUUAUUUAUCAGAUUUUUAAAAUUUUGUUUUUUACUUUUACAAAUUUGUUUAUAACAAAUUAAUUAAGAGUCUAUAUUAGUGUUCCAAUCAUCGACUCAAUCAACUUAUUCUUGAAUCAUAAAAAAAGAAAAUUACCUAUGGUCAAGCUCGGGUUAGUAUUCUCUAACUUUUUGGAGGGAAAGUCACAUAUCACUUUGGCUCUACGCCUCUACCUCUCUCCUCUUUUACACUUUCUCUUUCUUUUUUUGUCUAAAGUCACACCAAAGUUAUGAGAGGCAAAGUUAGAGAAUAUUUUUCCAGCAUUCUCUAACUUUCACAUAACCAUCUAUAUUACAACUUGAUUAGUAAUUAUUCAAAUUAAUCGCAGUGAGAACGAGUUAAGCAUCAUGGAUUGGUCAAAGAUGGAGAAAUCUUUUAAUUGGUCCAAAUUAAAACAAACCUUUCUCCAAAUUUAAAGCUAAAAAUUAAGCAAAAUCAAUCGUUAGUUGGUUCAGUGGUGAUUGUCGUUGAAUUUGGUAGGGAGGACCACAGUUCGAUCCCCGCAACUGCAAUCGAGAGGGAGCUAGAACUACCUGAUGCUAGAAUUGACCCCCGAACCAGACUAAACUAACGGUAAAAGAGGAAAAAAAAACGCCUAAAAAUUAAGCAAUGAUGUCGGAAGAACAAGUACUUUUAUUCUCUUUCAAACUCACUUUGCGAAAAAGAAUCAAAGAUGGAUGGUGUACAGUGUACUGUCUACCACAAAAAAUAAAAAGAUGGAUGGAUGGUGUCUGUUAAAAUAAAAUCAAUUUUUAUCCCGCCUUAAAAUUACUUAUUUUUUAACUAGAGACAAAACAGAUUCAAUAUUGAUAUGUUUUGCAAAUAAAGCAUAAUACAUUUUAUCACAUCAUAUUUAAUUACACUAUUGCAAACAGAUUCAAUAUUGAUAUGUUUUGCAAUCACAUACUGUAUAAUUAUUGCUAUACUUUGUCUAAAGCUCUCAAAUUAUUAGAACACGUAAUCAGGUGCCAAACCAUAUGAUGCUUAACUGGUUCUCACUGUGAUUGAUUUGAUUUGACCACACUAACCCUUCCACUUUGUUCUCUCUGUGCGUGCUAGCUGUAACUGCAUUAUUCUCAGAUUUCUAUGGCUGAAAAUGCAAAGCGUCUCAUCAUCGGAAUCGACCUUGGCACCACCUAUUCUUGCGUCGGAGUCUGGCACCACGGCGGUGUCCAAAUCAUCACCAACGACCACGGCAACCGGACUACCCCUUCUUACGUUGCUUUCACCGACUCCGAACGCUUAAUUGGCGAUGCUGCCAAGAGCCAGGUCACCAGGAACCCCGUCAAUACAGUCUUCGGUAUACCAUCUAUUCAACUUUUCUUUACCUUCACAUUUUGGCUGUUCUGUUUAAAUCUAUGCAGUAGCUGUGUGGAGUGUUGGAGACAUUUGCUCUGUUGAUUUCGAUACACUUAUUGCUUAAUUAAUUGAAUUGAAUUGAAUUGAUUUGUGCUUAAUUAUUAUAGAUGCCAAGCGUUUGAUUGGAAGGAGAUUCUCUGAUGCUUCCGUUCAGAGUGACAUGAAGCUAUGGCCAUUCAAGGUUAUUGCUGGUGGUACUGGAGACAAGCCAAUGAUUGUUGUUAACUACAAGAAUGAGGAGAAGCAACUCACUGCUGAGGAGAUUUCCUCCAUGGUCCUCCUCAAGAUGCGUGAGAUCGCCGAGGAUUUUCUUGGUUCCACCGUGAAGGACGUUGUUGUCACUGUUCCAGCAUACUUCAAUGACUCUCAGCGCCAGGCCACCAAGGAUGCUGGUGUCAUUGCUGGCCUUAAUGUCAUGCGUAUCAUCAACGAACCCACUGCUGCUGCCCUUGCCUAUGGCCUUGAUAUGGAGCCUGUCGUUGACGAUGAGGAUGAAAUGAACGUUUUGAUUUUUGACCUUGGUGGUGGUACUUUUGAUGUAUCUCUUCUAUCCAUUGUAGACAGUGUCGUUGAAGUUCUUGCCACUACAGGAGACAGCCAUCUUGGAGGUGAAGACUUCGAUAACAGGAUGGUUGAGAAUUUUGUUGAGGAAUUCAAGAGGAAGCAUGAGAAGGAAAUUAGUGGGAACCCGAGGGCUUUAAGAAAGUUGAGGACCGCAUGUGAAAGGGCAAAGAGGAUACUCUCAUCCACUGUACAGACCACCAUUGAGAUUGACUCAUUGUAUGAAGGUAUUGACUUCUAUACCACAAUCACUCGUGACAGGUUUGAAGAACUCAACAUGGACCUCUUCAGCAACUGCAUGGACACUGUUGAGCGGUGUUUGAGGGACGCUAAAAUGGACAAGAGCAGUGUACAUGAUAUUGUUCUUGUUGGUGGGUCAACUAGGAUCCCAAAAGUGCAACAGUUGUUGAAGGAUUUAUUCAAUGGGAAGGAACUCUGCAAGAGCAUCAACCCCGAUGAGGCUGUUGCUUAUGGAGCUGCUCUCCAGGCUGCUAUCUUGAACGAUGUGGAGAACAAGAAGGUUCAGGAGCUUACGUUGGUGGAUGUCACUGCCCUUUCACUUGGUGUGGAAACUGUUGGUGGUGUCAUGACUGUCCUGAUUCCAAAGAACCGUCCAAUCCCGUACAAGAAGGAGCAGGUUUUCUCAACCUACUCCGACAACCAGCUUAGUGUGUUGAUCAGGGUCUACGAGGGUGAGAGAACCAGUACCAGGGACAACAACUUGCUUGGUAAAUUCGAGCUUUCUGGCAUCCUUCCUGCUCCAAGGGGUGUUCCUCAGAUCAAUGUUUGCUUUCAAAUUGAUCACAAUGGUAUCAUGAAUGUCUCUGCUGAAGACCAGACUACUGGGAAGAAAAACAAUAUCACUAUUACAAAUGGCGAGGGCAGGCUCUCAAAGGAGGAGAUUGAGAAGAUGGUGCAGGAGGCGGAGAAGUACAAGGCUGAGGAUGAGGAGUACAAGAAGAACGUAAAGGCCAAGAUUGCCUUGGAACUAGCGGUGGAGAGGCACAGUUUUACAAAAGAUGCUCCAGAUCAACACUCGGAGGCGGAGAAGUACGAUUCUACAAAAGAUUCUCCAUACCUACGCUUGGAGGGGCAUGUGGUACAUGAUACUCGCCAUCAGGUUACAUUACCAACCCCAAGUUUACACCCCUUCCCUUCGGGAAACUUUGGGUAUUAUUUUAACUCUACAAAAAAGGCUUCACAGAAAAUUAUAGAGGCACUAAAAGAUGAUAAAUUCUAUGUAAUUGGAUUGCAUGGAAAGAAGGGUUCUGGUAAAACAUCAUUAGUGAAAGCUGAGAUGAAUGAGUAUGAAAAGAUUUUUCAUAGAGUUAUAUUUCCCACAGUUUCCAAUAACCAAGAUGCCAAGAGCAUUCAGGAGGGAAUUGCUAGCUCGCUGAAUGUGCAUUUUGAAAGAGAUGACAGUGAUGGCUUGAGAGCAAUGAAAAUAAUUAUGGCAUUAGAAAGGAAGGAUAGAACUAUUCUGGUCAUUUUGGAUAAUUUUCCGACAAAGUCUCAACCGCAGGAAUUAGGUAUUCCUUUUAGUAGCAGACAAUGCAAGGUUCUUUUAACCACACGUGACGAGGCAGACUGUGUCUUGAUGAGAUGUGACCAUUCUAUUUCUCUGGAUCCCUUAUCUAGUGAGGAAGCUUUGACACUGCUACAAAAACUUUCUGGUGUUAACUCUCAAUCUGCUCUAUUUGAAGUGGCACAGGAAGUUGCUUCUAAAUGCAAUGGCUUACCUGGAUUGAUUGAAAAGGUGGCGACUUCCUUGAAAAAUAAAUCCUUGGAAAAUUGGAAACAAUCAUUAGUCAGUCUAAGCCACUCAACUGCCCGCUACCAGAUUUUUAUCAGUUUUAGAGGAGGCGAUACUAGACAUGUUUUUACAAACCACCUCCAUUAUGCUUUGUGCCAGAAGGGGUUCAUGACCUUCAAAGAUGAUGAAUCAUUGGAGGGUGGGGUCCCAAUUGAGAAACUUCUUGACGACAUUGAAGAAUCGAGAUUUGCAAUUGUUAUUUUAUCCAAAAAUUAUGCAGACUCUGAAUGGUGUCUCAAAGAACUGGUCAAAAUUCUUGAGUGCAAGGAUAAGGAAAGUAGGAACCAACUUGUUUUGCCAAUCUUCUAUGAAGUACCGCCCACAGACGUAAGGCAUGUACGAAAUAGUUAUGCUGAUGCCAUGGCCAAACAUGUAAACAAUGGAAAAGAUUCAUAUAUAGUUCUAACAUGGAAGAAGGCUUUAUAUGAUAUUUGUACGCUGACGGGAUUUGAAAAGCCUCAUGACUGGUAAGUAGUUUACUUAUUUACUAUUAGUUAGACUUUAUGUGUUUCUGUAAUUACACUAAAUUUAUUGUAAAAUUCUGUCAAUUAAUACAUUAAUCCACUAAAAUCUUUUACCCAAAUACAUCCUUCUUAGUUAAAUUUCAUAAAUGGUGACUCAUCUACUAGUACAACCUCUUAAUAAUUUGAUAUGUUACCUCAUUUUUUAUAUUUUAAUUAUCUUAUUAAAUGUGAUUUUGUUAACAAAAAAUAAAACAAAAAUACUUCUUGCUUCAAUGUACUUUAAGUAUCUUGUGUGAUAUCAUAUAUUUUUUGUAAAGAAUAUUCAAUCAAGGUUAGUUUUAUAUAAGUUUUAUGAAAUGGAUUGCUAGUGAAAGAAAAUGAAAUUUGAACACAUCAUGAAUUGAAAUUAUUUUUUUAUAUGCUUUGUCAGGACCAGAGAUCAAUUUAUUGAUAAGAUUGUCAAUUUUGCCUGCGAUCACAGACAUCGCUUGCAUAUACAAAGCAUGUAUAUGAACUAGAAGAGAAAUUUCAGCUUCUCUUGCAAUGAGUGCAACACAAGACAAAACAGGUUACAAAUGGUUACCUGCUCAAAAAUGGACUAUUGUGGUUGUAAUUUAUUUUGGACACAGUUCUUGGGAGAUUUUCACAAAGCAUCUGUAUGAUCCUUUGUGUAAGGAGGGAAUUCAUACCUUCUAAGAUGAUCAAUCAUUGGAGGAGAGGCCCCAAUUGAGGAACUUCUUGGAGCCAUUAAAGAAUUAAUGUUGGUGGACCACUACACUGUUUUUGGAUGAUGGAUUUAAUGGAAGGAAUGUUGUUGUCUGAAGAUGCUCCCAUGAAUUUGGUAGAUGAGUAGUGUGGUAGUGUUCCCAAUUGAUGACGGCAGUGGCGGUCGCAUUCUCGUACUCUGCCUGCACCUCUCUUUUGCUCACUCGUUCCUCUCUCUCACUUCAUCUUCUUCCAUCUCUUAAGGUGAAAUUUCAAAUACGGUUUUAUAGUUUUCGAUUUCAAAUUGGUGAAUUUGAUUCCCUGUUAUCAUGUUUUGUGGAUCUGGAUCUCAUUUAUGAUACUUACUCUGCAUUUGAACUGACUAAUUCCUUUCUCUAGUGUUUCCUUUCUCAAUGAUUUUUGUUAUCUGCUUCUUUGCCUAAUCAACUCAAUAUGCUGUGGCUGUGAAAUUUGUCAAUUUUAUGUGAUUAAUUGUAAUUCAUUAGUCAGAUAUAUAGGAAUCUUAGUACAUUUCCAUUAUGGUACUCAACCAAGAGAGCUUCAGCAUACAUUAUUGUUAUGUCUUCUUACUCAGCAUAUGGUACUAUUUUUUGUUUUGUUUUUGCAACUUGCUAGUAGCUUUUACAUACAUGAAGUGCGAUAUCUGUUAACUGAUGUUUAAUCAGUUUCUUGAUUUUGUUAGAUAGCUAACAUAUGGUGGUUAUGUCACAGUUAUGUUAUUCAUAUAUGUUAACUGAUGAAGUCAACAACACCCCACAUGUUAUGCAAUACUCACUGCUUCUGGUGGAUUUGGUGUCUUGUUGAGCAGCUGAAGAUUUCUUUCCUCCCCUGGUAAUUAUGAAUGCAUUUCUUUUCUCUUGGAGAUAUAGGUUAUUUAAUAUGCACAGAAGAAGGGUGAAAGCUAUAUUGUCCAGUGAAGUUUCCACAUCCAUUCAUGUGACGCCGUGGUUAAUUCUGAUGGAGUUGACUCCCGAACAACAAAGGAGGAAAGAAGAACAUCUGAUGAGAUCGCCGCCCUAGUUAUCCUCGAUAAUCUCAAAGCUUUAGUUCUAGACUCAUACAACAGAUUCCCCAUUGAUAAGCUUCUUGAAGCCAUUGAAGAGUCAAGGUUUGUAAUUGUUGUUUUGUCAGAAAAUUUUGCAGACUCUAAAUGGUGUCUUAAAGAACUUGUCAAGAUUCUUGAUUGUCGAAAAACGAAGAAACAAUUGGUUUUGCCAAUUUUUUAUGAAGUGGAACCAACCGACACAAGGCAUCUACAAGGGAGGUAUGGUGAAGCUAUGGCCGAACAUGAAAAAAAGUUAGCCAAAGAUUCUAAGAGGGUAUUGGAAUGGACAUUAGCUUUGAGUGAUAUUUCCCAACUGAAAGGAGAACAUUUCCGCAUUUCCAACUUCAAAGGAGAGCAUUACAAAAGGUACGUAUGUUGGCAAUUAAAUCGAAUUUUAUGUUUUUUACAAAUAUUUAAAGAUGGUGUUGGGCCGGCUGAAGAUGAAGAGUUUGACUAGCUCACAGCUUGUACACACUUUUAUUAUUAAUAUAAGUGUUGACUUUUAAAAGAAGUAAAAAAAACCUUUUAAUGAGUAAUCUAUAUCUAAAACAUAAAUGAUAAGGUGUUGUAUAUACUUUUUUACAGGUACAGAGAUCAACUUAUUGGAAAGAUCAUAAGAUUUGCCCAUAAUAACAAACAUCGCUUGCAUAUACAAAGCAUGUAUAUGAACUAGAUGAAAGACUUCUGCCAAUAUUAUAUUUGGAGCUGUUGUUGAUGAUCGUUACACCGGAGAGAUUCAUGUGACUAUCAUUGCCACUGGCUUUUCACAAUUUUUUCAGAAGAAGCUGCUAACAGAUCCAAUGGCUGCAAAACUUCUUGACAAAGUGGCCGAGGGAAAAGAAAGUAAGACAGUGCCUUCUCCCCUCAAAUCCUCAAACUUAUGUUCCAAAGUUUAAUCUAGAGCAACAACACCCUCACGAAACCUCUUUUUUAGUUGCAUAGUUCGAUUUUUUUUUCUUGUUAGUUAUCAUUUUAUUGUAGUCACUCAGUUGUUUGAUGGUCUUGAAGCUUAUUUGCUUUGAGAUGUCAUUAUUCAUAUGGUUUAUGUAACCAUGCGCUUAAGUGUGUGUAGCUCACAAACAGUUUUUGUUUGUGAAAUGGAUAUAUAUGUUGAUUAUUCUUCUAUCUAAUCAAAAUUCCACAAUGCCUCUAACUACUUGAAGAGGUUGUGCUUCAUAUUACUCUAUUUUGCUUUUGUAAGGCUACCUGAAGUUAUCAUUGGUUUUGUUUCUGCACUUUCUGCCCUUUCUCUUUAUACAUGUCCUGUUCUCAAGUCCUCAAACUUACCUUCCAAAGUUGAAUCUAGUUGCAUAGUUCUUUGUCUAGUUGCAUAGUUCUUUGACCCUUUUCAAUAGUCAUUCAACUGUUUGAUGAUCUUAUAAACUUAUUUAAUUUGUUGAGAUGUCAUUACUCAUAUGGUUUAUGUAAUCAUGAGCUUAAGUGUAUUCACAAUAUAUAUAAUGUGUAGGGUUAUAUGGAUAUGCAUGAUUACUUGCUUUGUUUGAAUAAAGGAUACAUUAAUCAUUAUUGUGGUCCAUACAUUAGUACAUGAUCAUUCUUAUUCUUUCUAUAAUGGCAAAUAAACAUCUUCUGAUUGUGCAGUGCCUUUUCUCCAAAUUUAAAGCUACAAAUUAAGCAAUGAUAUCAGAAACAAGUAUUUUAUUUUCUUUCAAACUCACUUAAUUUAUUCCGACUCAUUUCCUACAAGUUGGAAAUUUUAAAACAGAACAAAUGUAAGUCUCUCAAAAAUUCACAAUUAUAUCCCUUAACAAGCAUUCCCUUCUUAGUUUCUUCAUUUCCAACAGAGAUCUGUCUUGGUUCCAAGCUGAGGUGUUUCCAUGCAUAAUAUUUUUAUGAGUGAAGACCGUUCUUCACAAAUUUUUAACUGGAUAACUUAGUCCCUUCCCUUGACAAAAAUAAAAUCUAAAUUAGUCCUUUAACAUUUUCAUACUUUGGGCAAACUAAGCCCCAAUUCGUUAUAACAGAGGGACUAAUUUAUCCCCGGUAUGAAAAUAUCAGCGACUAAUUUGGUUUUUAUUUUUGUUAGGAAAUAAAUUGUUCCGUCAGAAAUUUGUGAGGACCAAUCUACUUCUAAUAUAAUAAAUUUGAUUACCACCAAGUAUACUAAUUUGUCCUUACCAAUUUUAAUAAUAUUUCAAAUUUUGUAUGAUACGUUGUAAAUUUACUCUAUUUUCUUCGAAGGGUUUGUCUAAUAUGUGUAAUAUUGCACAUGUUAAAACAACCAAAAAUUUAUCGGUUAUUCAAUAAAUCUGAAUAAUUGACUUUUACUAAUAAUUAAGGAGGUAAGGAGUAUCAAAUAAAAGUCAAGAGUAGGCAUGACAAUAUAACUCAUAUUCGCGGGUACUCACUCACCUCGUCCCAAUUUUGCCAGGAAAAAACCGAAUUGACUGGGUUUGUGAAAACCCAAAUUUAAUGGGUUUGGAAUUAGGAGUAGCAAAAUCUGUCUCCGACCCACCUCUUUGCCAAUUUGCCAUGCCUAGUCAAGAGAAAUACUCGAACUGUAGCUCUCAAAUCUGAGUAAUUAUAGUUGGCCUUAACCAAAAGAAAAGCUAAAUUAUUAGAACCAAAUGUCAACUAAAGUAACGUAUUGCAUUUUCUUCUAUGAACAUUUGAGCGGUGACAGAUGUAUCCAACGGUUUAGAUAGUCGCAGGAAACUGUGGCGGGAGAGGACUCAGACCCCACAGUAAUUAAGAUUUAAAUUUAAACUCUAAACACUCAGAUUGAUUUUGAUGUUGAUUUGACCACACUAACUAACCCUUCCUCUUCGUUCUUCUCACUGUGAAACCUUGACCACCAUUCUUAGACUUCUAUGGCCGAAAAUGCAAAGCGUUUCAUCAUUGGAAUCGACCUCGGCACCACCUACUCUUGCGUCGGAGUCUGGCAUCACGACACUGUCCAAAUCAUCACCAACGACCACGGCAACCGGACCACCCCUUCUUACGUCGCUUUCACUGACUCCGAACGCUUAAUUGGUGAUGCUGCCAAGAUCCAGGUCACCAGGAACCCCGUCAACACCGUCUUCGGUAUACCAUUUAUUCAACUUCUCGGCUGUUCUGUUUGAAUCUAUGCAG